GCGACUGUUUAUCAAAAACACAGCACUGUGCUAACUCGCAAGAGGACGUAUACAGUGUGACGCCUGCCCAAUGCCGGAAUGUCACGGAAGCGGGUUAGCUUCGGCGAAGCUCGUAACCUAAGCACCGGUCAAUGGCGGCCGUAACUAUGACGGUCCUAAGGUAGCGAAGUUCCUUGUCGGGUAAGUUCCGACCCGCACGAAAGGUGUAACGAUCUGCGUACUGUCUCGGAGAGAGACUCGGCGAAAUAGACUUGUCUGUGAAGAUGCGGACUACCUGCACCUGGACAAAAAGACCCUAUGAAGCUUUACUGUAGCUUGAGAUUGGCUCCGGGCUUUAUUUGCGCAGGAUAGGUGGGAGGCGUUGACGACUUUCUUGCGGGAAAGUUUGAGCCACUGGUGAGAUACCACUCUAAUAAAGCUAGGAUUCUAACCCUAUACCGUUAUCCGGUUAGGGAACAGUUUCAGGCGGUCAGUUUGACUGGGGCGGUCGCCUCCCAAAGAGUAACGGAGGCGCGCGAAGGUU
RNAcentral lists this ribosomal RNA (523 nucleotides) under Strombidinopsis acuminata. RNAcentral's name for it is "partial Bacterial large subunit ribosomal RNA". It matches the Rfam family "Bacterial large subunit ribosomal RNA", at positions 1796 to 2318 of the family's 2925-position model. The record is from RNAcentral. Lineage: Eukaryota; Ciliophora; Spirotrichea; Choreotrichida; Strombidinopsidae.